Tinamus guttatus (white-throated tinamou) is the source of this 205-nucleotide non-coding RNA. The record is from RefSeq and is a predicted model, not a curated record. NCBI's taxonomy places the organism in Eukaryota, Metazoa, Chordata, Aves, Tinamiformes, Tinamidae.
AGGGUGAUCCUGGUGAAAAGGGUGAACAGGGUAUCCCAGGAUUGCCAGGCUCAGGUUUCAAAGGGGACAAGGGUGAACCUGGGAAACCUGGUCCACGUGGAAAGCCUGGAAAAGAUGGUGAACCAGGACCAAAAGGAGAACCCGGCUUGCCUGGCGGGUUUGGGAUUCCUGGACGACCCGGUGAACCUGGUCUUAAGGUGUGUGG